AUGGUGGAGCAAGAGGAAAGACAAAUCCCUUUGGUUCCAGAAAAUCUCCUGAAAAAGAGGAAGGCUUAUCAAGCCCUCAAAGCCACCCAGGCAAAGCAGGCACUUUUGGCAAAGAAGGAGCAGAGGAAAGGAAAAGGGCUCAGGUUUAAGUGACUGGAAUCAUUUCUACAUGAUUCCUGGAGGCAGAAACGUGACAAGGUGUGUCUCAGAUGACUAGAAGUAAUCCUUGUGCCUUGGAAUCACCAGAUAAACAUUCCUUGGCCUUUGUUGAAUGCAUUGAAGGAUUGAUGGCAUGUUUACUGGUGCAGAGAACCACUGCAAGACUUCGCCUAAAGAAAAUUUUUAGUGGUGUCUUUGUAAAAGUCACCCCCCAGAACCUAAAAAUGCUGCGUAUAGUGGAACCUUAUGUGACUUGGGGAUUUCCAAGUCUGAAAUCUGUCUGGGAACUCAUUUUGAAACGUGGACAAGCCAAGGUCAAGAAUAAGACCAUCCCUCUGACAGACAACACACUAAUUGAGGAGCACCUAGGGAAGUUUGAAGUUUGGUGUCAUUUGCUUGGAAGACCUCAUUCAUGAAAUUGGCUUCCCAGGGUAGCAUUUCCAGGAGAUCUCAUGGUUCUUGGACCCUUUCCACUUUCUCAGUGGCCUGUCACGCUACCAAAAAUAGAGUGGGCUUCCUCAAGGAGAUAGGCACACCUGGCUAUCGGGGUGAACGCAUCAAUCAGCUCAUCCGCCAGCUGAACUAG
RNAcentral lists this long non-coding RNA (745 nucleotides) under Homo sapiens (human). Its description in RNAcentral is "non-protein coding lnc-DIRC3-2:1". The record is from RNAcentral. Lineage: Eukaryota; Metazoa; Chordata; Mammalia; Primates; Hominidae.